Molecule: ribosomal RNA, 252 nt
Filed under: uncultured Bacteroidales bacterium
Lineage: Bacteria; Pseudomonadati; Bacteroidota; Bacteroidia; Bacteroidales
Description: partial 16S ribosomal RNA
Rfam family: Bacterial small subunit ribosomal RNA
Source: RNAcentral
UACGGAGGAUGCGAGCGUUAUCCGGAUUUAUUGGGUUUAAAGGGUGCGCAGGCGGAAUGUCAAGUCAGCGGUAAAAUUUCGGGGCUCAACCCCGCCGAGCCGUCGGAACUGGGGGCCUUGAGUGCGGCGGAGGCAUGCGGAAUGCGCGGUGUAGCGGUGAAAUGCAUAGAUAUCGCGCAGAACCCCGAUUGCGAAGGCAGCCUGCCGGCCCCACACUGACGCUGAGGCACGAAAGCGUGGGUAUCGAACAGG